UGCAAAAAUUAGCUGGGCAUGGUUGCACGUGCCUGUAAUCCCAGCUACUUUGGAGGCUGAGGCACAAGAAUCACUUGAACCAGGGAAGCAGAAGUGGCAGUGAGCUCAGAUCGCACCAUUCCAACCUGGGUGACAGAGAGAGACUCCAUCUCAAAAAUAAAAUACAAUUUAAAACAAUAAUAAAAAUUUAAAAAUAAAUUCAUACCUCAGAACUCUUAAAUAUAAUUUAGUCAACUCUAAAAUUUAUUGACAAAUUAACACACCGAUCUUAACUUAAAUUUUUUAAUAUGGAAAAAUACAACUUUUGCCUGAACUCUCAAAUUUUGAUGUUUAAAAAAAUAUGUCUAAAUAGUCUCGAUCUAGUUACAAAGUUGUGGCUGAAAACUGAACAGGCAGAGACAUGAUCAACUAACCUCUCAGUCAUUCCACACUAAAUAAAAGCAGCAGAUUUUCCCAAACUCCUUCCAAAAGGUAUAUUUCACUAGACAAAUCCAUGAACUAUAGACAACUUCAAGUAUUUUAAAAACAGGCCAGGUGCAGUGGUUCACGCCUGUAAUCCCAGCACUCUGGGAGGCCGAGGCGGGCGGAUCACAAGGUCAGGAGAUCGAGACCAUCCUGGCUAACACGGUGAAACCCCGUCUCUACUAAAAAUACAAAAAUAAAUUAGCCGGGCGAGGUGGCGGCGCCUGUGGUCCCAGCUACACGGGAGGCUGAGGCAGGAGAAUGGCGGGAACCCAGGAGGCGGAGCUUGCAGUGAGGCGAGAUCCGGCCACUGCACUCCAGCCUGGGCGACAGAACGAGACUCCGUCUCAAAAAAAUAAAUAAAUAAAAAUAAAAAUAAAAAUCUCACUCUUGAUAUUGAGAUGGAAAAUGACAUAUUUUGUUUGUUUCUUGACUGAACUGAUUCUCAACAAUGUAGCUUAGGCACUACUCAAAAACUGGUUAUAUAUCUAUAUUUUGAUCAUGUUUUCUUUUUUAUUCUGAUAGAAUCAACUUGAUUUUUUUUUUUUUUUUUUCCGAGACGGAGUCUCGCUCUGUGGCCCAGGCUGGAGUGCGGUGGCGCGAUCUCGGCUCACUACAAGCUCUGCCUCCCGGGUUCACGCCAUUCUCCUGCCUCAGCCUCCCGAGUAGCUGGGACUUUAGUGGAAAAUUUGCAUUCAUAUUUACACAAAGAGCAAUGCCCUACAUAAUAGAAAACUAACAACUUACUAUGAUUUAUGGAAAUGUAAUUUUUGAAAGAGCUACCCAUAACCUCAGGUUCUUCAGAAACCAGGAAGAAUAGAAAUGGCUUUGUCAGCCUUUAAAAAUAGCUAUUAAUUUGCUAUUCCAAAUGUCAGCAGGUAAGUUACUCCAGAGAAUACGGCAUGAAAAGCACCCAAAAGACAUGGAGAAGAUUUACACUUGAGUUCUUGUAUUUCAAACUCAUUGUAUUUUCUUGAUGAUGAAGACAAAUGAUUUUUGUAAAACAUACAUUUGUAAUUUAAAGACAGAUAGAUGCUGACUCAUUACGCGGAUUAAAAUACUCUCCACAUAAAGAGUUGUCAUCUGCCAUAGCACCACCUGCCUCUACUCCAUUUUCAACCUCUUUUUUCCUUGUUUUCCUUCCGACAUUUAGACAUGAGAUUUCACUCUUGGGCUUAAAGUCGGCCCCCAGUAAUAAUGCUAAUACUAUUCUGAUGGCCUUUUCAUUCUAACUCUGAUUUUAAUUCUAAUUCUAAUACUAGCUAAAGUUUGUUGAGUGUGCUUACUUGAUACUCUAAAUGCUUUACAUGAACUAUCUAAUUUUUUUUUAAUUUUUUUUAUUUUUAUUUAUUUAUUUUUUUUUUUUUUUUUUGAGACAGAGUCUCGCUUAGUCGCCCAGGCUGGAGUGCAGUGGCACGAUCUCGGCUCACUGCAAGCUCCACCUCCCGGGUUCACGCCAUUCUCCUGCCUCAGCCUCCCGAGUAGCUGAGACUACAGGCGCCCGCCGCCUCGCCCGGCUAAUUUUUUGCAUUUUUAGUAGAGACAGGGUUUCACCGUGUUAGCCAGGAUGGUCUCGAUCUCCUGACCUCGUGAUCCGCCCGCCUCGGCCUCCCAAAGUGCUGGGAUUACAGGCGUGAGCCACCGCGCCUGGCCAUGAACUAUCUAAUUUAACAGAAAUAGCAACCUACUACAAUCUCUCUCCAUUUUACGGAUUAAGAAACUGAGGCACAGAGAGGUUGUAUCUGUAGGAAGUGGCAGAAUGAGCCAUCUACCCAGGCAGUCAGGGUCUAGAUAGAAUCUGCAGUCUGUUUGAACCACUGAGCUCUACAACCCCACCCAGUGGCCCCACUCAGUGGGAAAGGGCCAUGGAAACCAGUUUUUCUUGUAAAAAGAAGUUCACUUCACCAAACUUGACCAUGCACGCCACAGCAAGCUGAUGACAGUGCCAUACAUGAUUUUUC
This is a long non-coding RNA of Papio anubis (olive baboon), 2423 nucleotides long. Lineage: Eukaryota; Metazoa; Chordata; Mammalia; Primates; Cercopithecidae. The record is from Ensembl.